AAAAGCUUAGUUAAGGGGAACAACUACUUCAAGGUCUCAGAGCGAGUGGCGUCACCGACUGAAACGCUAUUAGCGCACACCCCGCUAACUAGCUAGCCAUUUCACAUCGGUUACACAUUGUCAGUAGUAGAUUCCACGAAGCAAAUCAUAAAUAAACCAUUUAGUUUGAGUUAUGUGAUGAUUUGUAUUAUAUAUCCCUGCAAUGGGGCUCCCGAGUAACGUAGCGGUCUAAGGCACUGCAUCUCACUGUUUGAGGUUGUCACUACAGACACCUCUGGUUCAAAUCCAGGCUGUAAUCACAACCGGCUGUGUAUUGGGAGUCCCAUAGGGCGGCGCACAAUUGGUCCGGGUUUGGCCGGUUGUAGGCCAUCAUUGUAAAUAAGAAUUUGUUCUUAACUGACUUGCCUGGUUAAAUAAAGAUAAGAAAAAAGAGACUGAAGGAGAUUCUUCAAGGAGAUGGAGAGACAACAGCACCCUCAAGGUUUGGAUCCCACUGCCCAAUUAUCAAUAUUGUCCAGAGUUUAUGUCAAAACAAGGCUACAUCGUCCUGACAGUCUGCUGGGUGCUGAGAAUGUCCAUGAUGAGAAGAUGUAGAGAAGCAGUCAUCCGCUGUAGAGAUCACAUUGGCAUUUGAGUGGUUCUAAAACAGUGUGAAAUCUCUCUGCAUAGGGAUUAUUCUCCGCACGAUAGGGAAGUUCAAGGCCCCACACAUUUUGUUCUCCUUCACCAUCUGUGACCAGGAGUGCCUCUUGGCUACAGAACUUCCCUAAAAGGUUUGUUCCUGUGACCCGGUUAACGUUGCAGUGACGGCUGGCAGAGCCGUCAUCAGAGACAUCCUUUUCGUUUGCAUAAAUGAUAUAUGAAAGGGGCUGGCAAACAGCUGGUGAGGAAGUCAAAUAGGUCAAUAGCUACCUCUCCCGAUGUGCUCA
Long non-coding RNA from Oncorhynchus tshawytscha (Chinook salmon), 929 nucleotides. The record is from Ensembl. NCBI's taxonomy places the organism in Eukaryota, Metazoa, Chordata, Actinopteri, Salmoniformes, Salmonidae.